GGUUUCUCUCUCUCUCUCUUCUUAUGUUGUGUUCCGGCCAAAGGUUUUGAUUCAAUGUGUGAACAAAGGUAUACAAAGUGGUGCGGGACCUGCCAUAAGGGACAAAGAGCAUGGUGCUGAAUGGAAAACACACGCUUUAUGGAGACUCAAGGGCACCUUCAAGGAAACAGGGUAAAGAACAGUAGGCCACUAGGAACUGAUGAAAGCUCUAUGACGCUAUGAAGGGCACCGUAAACCUCCCUGCAGACUGGCAGGAAUGACAGACUUGUUUCCGUGGAAGAAACUGGAGGAGGCACGAUGUGAUUUCAGGGGGCUUUGACACGAAUGGAGGAGCAACUGCUGAUAAUGCAAGUGCCCUUAGUGUUCCCACAUCCUCCGUGGCAGAUGAAGCCACUGUGGGUGGACGAGUAGAAGCAGCAUAAUCCCAUCCCCGUUGUUUAGUGCUCAGGUACUUGGCUCCCAGCUGCCCAGCUGGCCUGGACAAGCCAGAGGCUUGGGGCAGACACUGCUGCAGGUCUCUGAUAUCCAUCCUUUCCUUUAUGGGAAUAUAUCCACCAAUGUAUGGCUGGGCACAUGGCUGUCCACAAUAAAGACUGCAUUUCCCAGCUUCCCUUGCAGCUAAAGGUGACCUGUGUGACUAUGUUCUGGCCAACGGCAUAUAAGCAGACAUGGUAGUACAACAGCCUUCAGGAACGUUCCUUAAGAGAUAGUUAUAAGCACCCUUUGGCUCCUUUAUUCCUUCAUUCUACUGCCUGGAACUUGAAUGCUGCCAUCGUGGACCAUGAGGUCAAGGUCAUGGAGGGGUAUUACAAGAUAGUGUCUGGAUACCAGACACUGGGGAACUACUUUCUACUCCUGAUCACCCAUCUAGAUUUUAUGUGAGAAGAAAUAAACUUCUGUCUUUUCUCUAUUA
Myotis davidii is the source of this 913-nucleotide long non-coding RNA. RefSeq lists it as uncharacterized. The transcript is spliced from 2 exons. The record is from RefSeq and is a predicted model, not a curated record. NCBI's taxonomy places the organism in Eukaryota, Metazoa, Chordata, Mammalia, Chiroptera, Vespertilionidae.